AACACAAACUUUUGGGGAUCGGUUUAUCCAACUCAUUUUGCAGUUCCACACCUCAAAAAAACCAAUGGAAAGAUCAUUGUCAAUUCCUCAUUAGGUGCUUUGUUGGGCGCACCUGGAGGCUGCGUCUAUAACGCAAGUAAAGCAGCAUUGAUCAGCUUCUAUGAGUCCUUAAGAUUUGAAGUUUCCCCAACGGUAACAAUAACAAUCUUGAUGCUCGGUUUCAUACAAACAGACUUCAUAACAGCCAAAUAUACACGUUUAAAAAAAGAUUUGAGAGAUGUAGUCCCAACAAUGGAGGCUGAACCAUGUGCAAAAGUUGUCGUUGAUGGUAUACGUAAAGGUGCAACAUACAUUACAGAACCAAGGAUCUUUAAGACUAAUGUAUUGUUAAAGUUACUUUUUCCACAAGUACACCAUUUCUUCUACAGUUGUUUUUCCUCCUUAGUAGAGAACUACAAAUCCUCCUUAUAAAGAACUAAAAAAGAGAUGGAUAAUUUUUUGUUUAAAAAAUGUUGGUGUAAUUGUUGGAUGUGGAGUGGAG
Long non-coding RNA from Helianthus annuus (common sunflower), 541 nucleotides. RefSeq lists it as uncharacterized. NCBI's taxonomy places the organism in Eukaryota, Viridiplantae, Streptophyta, Magnoliopsida, Asterales, Asteraceae. The transcript has 3 exons. The record is from RefSeq and is a predicted model, not a curated record.